CUCGUACUUCGAUGAAGAGCGUAGACAGCCGCGCGAACUGAUACGAAUUGCAGGUCUCAGUGAACAUCGACACCUCAAACUCACGUGGCGGCCUCGAGAUCU
Acanthosepion pharaonis is the source of this 102-nucleotide non-coding RNA. Lineage: Eukaryota; Metazoa; Mollusca; Cephalopoda; Sepiida; Sepiidae. The record is from the annotation of a GenBank genome assembly.